GACGAACGCUGGUGGCGUGCUUAACACAUGCAAGUCGAACGGGAUUUAGUAAACAGAAGCCUCGGUGGAAGAUUACUACUGAGAGUGGCGAACGGGUGAGUAACGCGUUAGCAACCUGCCUAUUACAGGGGGAUAGCGUCGGGAAACCGGGGGUAAUACCGCAUAAUAUCGUAGAAACACAUGUUUUAACGGUCAGAGAUUUAUCGGUCAUAGAUGGGCUCGCGUCUGAUUAGCUAGUUGGUGAGAUAACAGCCCACCAAGGCGACGAUCAGUGGCCGGUCGGAGAGGAUGACCGGCCACAAUGGAACUGAGACACGGACCAAUACCGUAGGCGAGGGAGCAGAGGGGAAUAUUGCAGGAGGAGGGAAAACCUGAUGACGCGACGCGGCGUGAACGAAGAAGGUAUUCGUAUAGUAAAGUUCUGUCCUAUGGGAAGAUAAUGACAGUACCAUAGAAGAAAGCACCGGCUAACUACGUG
RNAcentral lists this ribosomal RNA (478 nucleotides) under uncultured bacterium. RNAcentral's name for it is "partial 16S ribosomal RNA". It matches the Rfam family "Bacterial small subunit ribosomal RNA", at positions 28 to 507 of the family's 1533-position model. The record is from RNAcentral.